GCCUUCGUGGUGUAAUGGUUAGCACACUCGGCGCGUAUUCGAGAGGUCCGAGGUUCGAGUCCCGGCUAAGGUA
RNAcentral lists this transfer RNA (73 nucleotides) under Stegodyphus mimosarum. It matches the Rfam family "tRNA". From Rfam's summary of the family: Transfer RNA (tRNA) molecules are approximately 80 nucleotides in length. Their secondary structure includes four short double-helical elements and three loops (D, anti-codon, and T loops). The record is from Rfam by way of RNAcentral. Lineage: Eukaryota; Metazoa; Arthropoda; Arachnida; Araneae; Eresidae.